CCAAUUGCCGUAAUGGCCACCUCGUCUGAUCCCCCGUAAAUCUCGCUUGACUCCGCCUGCCACUCAUCCCACCCAACCCCUCUUCCAAGAACUCCAAGAAGGACCGUCUGGGGUUUCGGAGGUAGAGAUCGAGAUCAAGUCGAGAUCGAGAGAGAGCAAUGGAGAAGGAGGGAGGGCUGGGAGUUCGAAGGAAGCCGACGAAAAGGAGAAGCAGAGGAUUUGCGAAGGCGGUGAAGGAUUACCUAGUCUCCGAUUCCUACAUGUACGCCCCUCUGAUCGAUUCGCCGCCGCUGGAUUCUCCCCCUUCACCUGACGUCCGCUCUCCUCCUACUGCAGAAAAGGUGAGCUGAUAAUGGGGAGAUUUCUUGUUGGCUGAAGGUCAGAGGGCUUACGGUGCAUUGUGCGAAACUAGUGUGAGAUAUAAAAGGAUAAUGUUCAAUUUGUUUGAUCGCUGACCUCCUCUAAAAAAGCGAGUGGUGCCUAUGGCGCAGUUGCAGAGGCUGCUGGUGAAGUGAUUUUUUGCUUUGCAUGCUGGGAGACCUGAGCUUUGGUGUGUUUACUUUACCUACGUUAUCAGACUACAUCUUUUCUCCUGUUGUUGUGUCUUCUAAUUUGUCUACCUGUUUCUUGUUGCCCUUGUUGCUGUUAUUUUUCUUUUUGCUAUUGAUUUUGAUUGUCGUAAUGUUACAGCUGAAUUGCCUCUGAAACCAUCUUUACGGAUGGGUUGGUCUAUGGACCAUGCUCUGUGUUUUACAUUUACUAGCUAAUGAAAUUGGGAAGGUGAUUCUUCUGUAGCCAUGUUGUUUGUCUGUCCUUGUUUGGUUCUAUGCAUUUAUGAUUGUUAAAAUCAUGACUAAGACAUGCCUUAUAUUCUAAGACAUUAUUAGGACAUGCCUCAGUAUACUGAGGAAAGUAGGUGUGUAAACUGUCGCUUCCUUUUAUUAUUAUUAUUAUUAUUUUUUGCCGGUCAAUUAUUAUUUGUUGCAUUUUGCAACUAUGAGCAACAUAAAAAUGAGACCAUGCUAACAUGCCUUGUCGCAUCUAUUUUGGGUUGGCCAUGAAUUCUACCUGUGCCCGUCAAUCCUCUUAAAGAGUAGAAUCACUAUAUAUUAUAUGAAACCUUUUCAAUUCCUUGAACAACUCUUAGGUGUACUUCUUUCUCAUUUCCAGGGGUUAGCUGGAAACCGAAGCUUUUAGCACUUUUACUUUGGAUUUUAUUAGUUGUUUUGUCUUGAUUGGCCUUUGGAAGAUGAGUUUUUAAUUUGCGGUCCUGGAGAUCGGGGAGAUAAGAGUUUGCCCACCCUAUUUUGAGUGGGUGCUCGCAAGGUCAAAGUCAAAAAUUCUAUUCUUUCAUUAAUACAGGGGUAGUGGGGAAUAAAUAGUUUAAGUGAUUCACACCUCGAAGUAGGGCCACUUCAAUUGGAUGUGCCUAAAUUUCUGAUCUAUCAGGCCACCUUUCUAUGCUCUUUACUAAUCCUAUCUUUCCAACUAGUGGAACACACUUUCAUGAACAUCCUCAUCUCUCUGGCGGUCAUCUUUUAUGCACAGGCUUUCUUGAUUCUUAAUUGAGUUACCCUGUUCUGUAGAAGCUGAUCGGCUUUUUGAAUGGGAUAAUUGCUCGAUGUGUUUUUAUAGCAUCUUUCAUUAUAUGCUAGUCUAAGUUGCAUGAGAGGAAUAGAAAGCCAAUGAUUGCAUAUUUUCUUUGUGUUCAAGCCUGAGCUUAGCUUGGAAAACAUGUCUUGAUUUUAGUCAAGCACCUUCAGCAGGUGAAAUGUGGGCCAACAGAACCCAUGUCCACCGCUCAAGGCUGCGGUCCUAAUGGUACCUUUUGAUGGUCCAUGUGGUCCUAUAAAGAAUUACUU
This is a non-coding RNA of Phoenix dactylifera (date palm), 1862 nucleotides long. NCBI's taxonomy places the organism in Eukaryota, Viridiplantae, Streptophyta, Magnoliopsida, Arecales, Arecaceae. The record is from RefSeq and is a predicted model, not a curated record.